UACGUAGGGGGCAAGCGUUGUCCGGAAUUACUGGGCGUAAAGCGCACGUAGGCGGAUUUGUAAGUCAGGGGUGAAAUCCCGGGGCUCAACCUCGGAACUGCCUUUGAUACUGCAAAUCUCGAGUCCGAUAGAGGUGGGUGGAAUUCCUAGUGUAGAGGUGAAAUUCGUAGAUAUUAGGAAGAACACCGGUGGCGAAGGCGGCCCACUGGAUCGGUACUGACGCUGAGGUGCGAAAGCGUGGGGAGCAAACAGG
This 253-nucleotide ribosomal RNA is filed under the name uncultured bacterium. Its description in RNAcentral is "partial 16S ribosomal RNA". It matches the Rfam family "Bacterial small subunit ribosomal RNA", at positions 524 to 776 of the family's 1533-position model. The record is from RNAcentral.